AAAUGUACUGGCCCCAUUUUCAUGAAACCUGGUGAAAGGGUGUAGAUCGGCCCUAGGAAGAAACCAUUACAUUUUGGAGCGGAUCCGAACUACGGUUUUCUAACAACAGAGGAGAGGCAUCUUUAAAGACGACGUCCGUCUUCAUUAGAGAUGAGAGGAGCAGCUAUGAGUUUAACUGCAGCAGCGAGUGGAUUUGUUGUCUUCCUUCUCUCUGUGUCAGGUACUGUAUAUCUACAGUUACAUUCAUUCUUUAAAAG
Molecule: long non-coding RNA, 257 nt
Organism: Perca fluviatilis (European perch)
Lineage: Eukaryota; Metazoa; Chordata; Actinopteri; Perciformes; Percidae
Exons: 4
Source: RefSeq, a predicted model, not a curated record